Molecule: ribosomal RNA, 497 nt
Filed under: uncultured bacterium
Lineage: Bacteria
Description: partial 16S ribosomal RNA
Rfam family: Bacterial small subunit ribosomal RNA
Source: RNAcentral
GAUGAACGCUGGCGGCGUGCCUAAUACAUGCAAGUCGAGCGAACGGACGAGAAGCUUGCUUCUCUGAUGUUAGCGGCGGACGGGUGAGUAACACGUGGAUAACCUACCUAUAAGACUGGGAUAACUUCGGGAAACCGGAGCUAAUACCGGAUGAUAUUUUGAACCUCAUGGUUCAAAAGUUAAAGACGGUCUUGCUGUCACUUAUAGAUGGAUCCGCGCUGCAUUAGCUAGUUGGUAAGGUAACGGCUUACCAAGGCAACGAUGCAUAGCCGACCUGAGAGGGUGAUCGGCCACACUGGAACUGAGACACGGUCCAGACUCCUACGGGAGGCAGCAGUAGGGAAUCUUCCGCAAUGGGCGAAAGCCUGACGGAGCAACGCCGCGUGAGUGAUGAAGGUCUUCGGAUCGUAAAACUCUGUUAUUAGGGAAGAACAUAUGUGUAAGUAACUGUGCACAUCUUGACGGUACCUAAUCAGAAAGCCACGGCUAACUACGUG